ACUUCUCAGCAUCGCCGUCUCUGAGGGCAGGAGUGAUCUGGAGCCCUCCCCAAGCCCACAGGUAGUCGGGCGGCAUGUGCGGGCCUGGGGGGCCCCACUGGGGUCUUCUCUCCUCUUCCCCGGCCCCUCCCCGAGGCCAGGACAAGUCCUGCCUGCCCUGAACGGGGGCGGCUGAGCCCAGGUUGGGGUGGUGGUGAGACAGGGAGACUGGGGAGCUGGGCACCCUGAUGGGGGUUCUGGGCCUGCCACUCAUCAGCCUGGAGGUCCGGGGCUUUUCCCCAACCCCCUGUGCACGGAAAGGUUUAGGGGCCAUGCCCCAGGUGGCCACAGCGACGGGAAGCUCCCUGGCUGCCUCAAAGGGCUGUUCUGUGGGGGGACCUGGUCCAGGAUGAUGGAGGGGAGGCAGCAACUGGACUUUUCCCCUUGCAGCUGUAAGGAUAGCUUGAUUUUUCUAAGGACAACAACCCUGUGUCUCCCCACUGAGUUACAAGCCCGCAGGUGGCUUGAUGAACAUGUGGUUUCUGGAUGUGACAUGAAAGUUAGCAUUUGCGCGCUCUUUGGUUUCCCUGGGUUUGUUUUUCUUGCUCUUACAGUCCUGAACUAUUCCCAAUCGUGUUUAUGUUGAGGCAGAAGACAUGGCUGUGGAGUGUCGGUGCACCAGGGUCUGCCGGGUCCCCGCCUCCCCAUCCUUCCAAGAGGCACCAGCUGCAAGGCACGUGCAUGUGCCCUCCUGACCCCCCGGUCCCCAAAGAGCCUGCUCCCGUCACUCCAGGCAGGCACUGUUGCUGGGAUUUCAAGGCAGCUGAGUGCAGAGCCCACUGCAGAGGCAUCAGCCCCUCCCAGGCCUCUAGGAAACCUGCUCCUCCCCUCCCUCCACAGGCAUCUGCUUACAGCGCCAGCGGUGCCUCGUGCUCCACCUGGAGCACCACUGUCUGUCAGGGACACGGGCUCCCAGAGGGCUGCACGUGAAUGAUUUCCGACCCUCACAACAGCCAGGAAGUAGGGACUGGGAUUGUUCCCAUUCUGUAGAUGAGAAGACUGAGGCUUGGGAUAACGUGCUUGCCCAAGUUGGCAUGGGCAGUACAAGACAAAGCUGGGGUUGCAAAUGAUCACGCUUCCUAUUCUGAAUAUUUCUUUUUCUGCCACCUUCUCCUCUGAGUGCUGGCUUUCCCUACUUACCAAGCCCCCAGCUGCUCACUGCGGUGCCAGAGCACCCAAGAGCCUCCUCUGGCAGUGCCAUGGCCCACAGCACACUCCCCUUGGCUCUAUCAGGCCUCCCUUUUGGCUUGAGUGCCACCCACUCACUCCUCUCCUGCUUUCUGGCAUCGUUAUUUAAUUGUCCAACCCUGGUCUGCUCAGUUAGACCGUAAACUCUGAGAGGACGAGGAGUCUUCGCCGGCUGCCCCCCGGGCCUGGCCUGGGGCUGCCACGUAGCUGAAUCUCAGCCACACUUGCUGUAGAAUGAUUUGUUAUUAUUCUCUGAGGCUGGGUUUCCACGUGGCUGGGCACAGGAGGACAGAGUCCCCCUCCCCGUCCAGGUCCUUGGCUGGCCAGCAUUUCAAAUGAUAUUGUUUCAUAUUAAAUUAUUUUAAAUUCCAUGGACCCUGGUUUCACAAUCAAAUAAUUCGAUCUUGUUUACAAAUGGAAUUUUUAGUUUUUGACGGUUUCUUGCUUUGCUGGGCUGGACGGUCAGUGAAUGCGUGUCCUCCCGUGCCCUCCAGUCCAUCUCUGUUGCCUUCCCCGGGAUGCCGUGGAGGCCGGGAACCGUCCCCAGGAGUGGGGACGUGGUCAGGAGGGUGGGGUCAGGCAGCCCUGUGCAGGCAGACAGCUCACAGUGCUCGGGGCCUGGAGGCGGGGGCGUUCUCUGCUUGCCCUCUUCCAGCUCUAGACAUGAGAAAACCCACAAAGAACAGAAUUGGAAGGGAUCUUUGACACACGUGAUUCCAACAUCCCCUUUUACAGUUAGGAAACUGAGGCACAAGAUCCUGGUUCUUGGGGUUGGGCCUUGGACCCAGCACUGGGUCUUUGCACAGCCUCCUCAGGACUGAUCCACACUUUGUUCUCUUCCCCACCAACCCCAUCACUUCCCGUUAGGUGCCACUUACUGCUUUCACCUACCGAGACAGAGAGAGGGAAAAGUGUGACCUCUGACCUCUAGGAGCUAGGAACCCAGUGUUGGGAGGGGAGCUGCGGAGGAGGAGACAAAGGAGGCACAAUGAGGUGGACCCUACGGGGUUGGGAGGAGCUUGGAAGGCAGUUCAGAAAGGACACGUAGGAGAAGGCAGGGUGGGACUGUGGGACAGCAGGCCGGGCGCAUCCAGCGGCGUUUGCAAAGCCGGAGAAGUGGCCAAGCUCAGUGGCUGUGGCCAGAUGCCAUUUGUGGCAGUUGAUGAGAAUCUUGUGACUAUUUUAACCGAUGUGUUAAACUUCACUCUCCCCCUGUCAGUCUCCUUGUCACCUUGGAGAAUGUUAUUAGUCAAGGUUCUCCAGAGAAACAGAACCAACAGAAUGUACACACAUGCACACACAUACACAUGCACACACACACACAUACACACGCACACACACACACACACAAACAGGGAUUUAUUGUAAAGAACUGGCUCCUGGAAUAACUGAAUUGAUAAGUCCCAAGAUUUUCAGUCAGCAAGCUGGAGACCCAGAAGAGGCUACUAGGGACUAGACAUGUCCCCCCAAAAUUCAUAUGGUGGACCCCAACCUCCAAUGUGAUGGUCUUAGGAGGUGGGGUGUUUUGAAGGUGAUUAGGUCAGGAGGGUGGAGCGCUAAUGAACGAAAUUAGUGCCCUUAUAAGAAGAGACAGGGCAGCUCUCUCUCUCUGAUCUCUGUCACAUUAGGACGUAGAGAGAGGAAGGCCAGCAGUAAGUGGGCCCUCACCAAAAUCAAAUUGGCAGCACCGUGGUGCUGGACUUCCAGCCUCCUGAAUGGUGGGAAAUGAAUAUUUGAUGCUUAAGCCACACAGUCUACAGCAGCCCGAGCUUAGACAGAGCGGACGUUUCAGUUCAAGUCCAAAGGCAGGAAAAAGCUAGACAUUCAGCUCAAAGGCUGGCAGGCAAGAGGAAUUCUAUCUUACUCAGGGGACGGGACCCCCUUUGUCCUAUUCAGGCUGUCAACUGAUUGGAUGAGGCCCACCCAUAUUAGGGAGGGGAAACUGCUUUACCUGGCCCACUGAUUCCAAUGUGAGUCUCAUCCCCAAGCCCCUCACAGAAACACCCAGAGUGAUGUCUGGUCAAAUAUCUGGGCGCUGUGGCCCCGCCAAGUUGACACUGAAAUUAACCCUCGCAGAGGCCGCCUCUUUAUCACGGGACACAUGCUUGGAGCCCCUCUUCUGGAACUUUCUCUAAGCGAGUGACAGUAUGGGGCAGAUGGGUGUCAUUGCUCUGUGGUCACUUGAUGGGUGACCUGGGUUGGCCCUGUGUACCUACCCACUGGGCUUGGCUCAGAAUGGCAUCCUGCUGUUUCCACAAGUCAGCUGGCUCUCCAGGGUCAGGAUGGAACCUGCUGAGGAGAUCACAGAUGGCCCUGACUCCACACGCUGCCCCAGAGGGCCCCAAGGCAGGCAUCUGAGCCAGCCCCGGCUGCAGAGGUUGACUCAGGAAAGCACCAGGGAAAGUUGGUUGUUAAUAUCCCAGUCCAAUUUUUUUUGACUGGGCCUAAAGGCAGGGACUUCCUUCUAUAAAAUCUGGGAGCUGAGUGCAGGGCAGGCCUGACAAGGCGUGAGGAGCUGCCUGUGGACUUCGGCUCUCCCAGUGAGUCCAGGAGCUGCCCUGGGCCCUGGCGGCCCCUCCUCAUCCCCACCUCUCUGCUGCACCACUAUGGCCUCAAGGUCCCUGCACUGCCUCAUAAAGCUGUCCCCAAGUCAGGCUCCUGUGAGCGCGCCGGGCAUCAGAACUCUGGCUGGUGGACCCACAGAGGCCCGGGGUAAUAGCCAUGAGAAGAACAGGCCACCACGCUCAGACUGGGAAGCACCCAGCCUGCGGGAUGGCCAGAGACACUCAUCCAGGGCCAUGAGAGUGUGAAUCAGUCGAGUACAAUAUGCAUAACCAGUGUGGCCAGAACCGGUGCUUUGAGGUGUCUAACUCCUGGUGUCCUACCAUCCCAACACUGUUGAUUAAUGGCGAAAGAUGGGGCAUUGGGGAGGUCUGUGUCUAUGCUUGGUGGCACCUAAGAAAGAGCAAGGCAUUUAUCUGCAUGGAUUGAGAUAGACAGGUCUCUAAAAUAAACAAGGCAAAGAACGCAAGAGGCUGAACCAAAGUAUGAUCCAUUUGGGGCUUAACAAAUAGAUAGUAUAGGCAGCGCGGUGGCUCACGCCUGUAAUCCCAGCACCUUGGGAGGCUGAGGUGGGCAGAUCACCUGAGGUUGGGAGUUCCAGACCAGCCUGAGCAAUAUGGUGAAACCCUGUCUUUACUAAAAAUACAAAAAUUAGCUGGGCAUGGUGGUGCACGCCUGUAAUCCCAGCUACUCAGGAGGCUGAGGCGGGAGAAUCGCUUGAACCCGGGAGGUGGAGGUUGCAGUGAGCUGAGAUCAUGCCACUGCACUCCAGCCUGGGUGACAGAGGGAGACCCUGUCUCAAAAAAAAAAAAAAAAAAUAGAUGGGGUAGAUGCUUUUGGAAGAAUAUGCAGUCACUGCUCACACCAGCAUGGAACAAGUGGACUGGGGUUACUGCCUGGCGAGUCUCUUUCAGGUCCCUGAAUGCAGUUAACUCAGCGAGUCCUGAGUUCCCCAGGAGGUGGGCAUUCCCAUCUUACCCACGUUGCAGAUGAAGACACUGAGGUAUUGGGAGAACCUGCCCAGGUGAUACAGGUAGUAUGUGGCGGUUGGGGGAUGUGAACUUGAGCUCCUGACCAACUCUGCUGCAUGGGCUGACAACUCCGGCUUCUCCGGGAGAGGGGCAGGGGCUGAGGUGGGGCUUUUUUGUUUUUGUUUUUGGCCUUUCUGAGUCCUCUGUGCUUUCUUCCCAGGUGCAUAGAUGACUUACUUUCAGAAAAUGUCAACAGGGUGCUCUGCAGAGGGGCAUGGGCUUUUAUGCCUUUAUUAUGCUUUUCUGUAUUAAAAGAAAAAUACAGUCAUGUGAUUUUAGAAACUCAACCCAUGGAAGAGAGAAUACUGGGUCUGUAGGAAAUCUGCAAAGUGGGAAAGAUACUUCUGGGCUUGGUGGUGGCACCUUGGAGCCUGCUUACGGAAAUCACCUCUCGUUCCCGUGAUGCUGAAAGCAGAAUGCUGGACAUGGAAGAACCGCGGUACUCGAGCUUCGUCUGCUGCCCCACACCCCACUGGCUGUUGCAAGAGUGACGUUGCCAUUGGUGACUGCAGGUCUCCCAGCAGCCUGGUGCAGAGAGGCCACUUCAGGCUCGAACAGAGGCCCGGGUUUCCACGGGAGACAGCAGAGCCACGGUGUAGCAGGCAUCCAGCUCUCCCCCGAUCAGUUCCGUGACUUGUCGGAAGGCCCUCCCUCCCGGUAGGCCUCGGUUUCCUCAUCUGUGAAACAAUGGGAGUGACCUGGAGGGCCUCUGCCAGUCUCACUCAGUCUAAGCCCUUGAGACGGAGGCAGACACGGUCAGCCUGUAAGCCCCUGGCCUUGCUCUUGCUUCAGGUCAGACGAAGAAAGGACUGGUGGCCUCUGGGGAUCCUGAGCCUGUCUCCAUGGGAACCAGCUCACCCACCCCCUCUCUGGCAAGUGUCCUAGUGGGAGCCAUGGGAAACCAUGGGCUCCAGCCCCUGGCCGCUGACUGGUUGGCGGCCUUCCGUUUUGAGAUCCCUGGCCCAGGGUAAUGGAGGGGACCUCAUCUUACAGAAGACACAGCGAGGGUGUGGAGAGGCUGUGGGGGAAGCACAGCCUGGCCGGCAGCUGCUGGGUGUCCUGGCUUGAGCUCAGGGCACCUUUGUCCCAGGGUGGGACCCUCAGGUCUCAGGGGCUGCUCCAUCCCCGUUGAGGGCUCCCUUCAUUCUUGAUGUCUGUCCACUCACAGAGGGGGCGUCAUGCCUCUCCAAAGACCCCCACAUUCCAGUCCUUGUGUCCCUGAGGUCGGCCUCCUGGCGGCCACCUCACAGGGAAGGCCCUGGACACAGGGCCCUGGCCUAAUGCAGCAUGGCUUCAUCUUAACUAGUUACGUGUGCAAAGACCCUGUCUCCAAACAAGGUCAUAUUUUGGGCUUCUGAGUGGAAGUUGGUUUGGGGGACACUCAUCAACCCAGCACAAUGCUCCCCCUCACCAUGUUCGUUGAAGAGAAGACUCUUGGACACCUGGAGGCCACCAGUCCUUUCUGGAUCCCCAGAGGCCACCAGUACUUUCUUCCUCUGACCUGAAACAAGAGCUAGCAGGGGCUGGCAGGCCGACUGCGUCUGCUGCCAUUUUGAGUACUGGCCCCAGCCGCAAUGCCCAGGACUGAGUCAUGGAGAUUCCCUCAGAAAUGGUGCAACCCAGUCUGUCCACAGAGUGAGGGGCGACAAGCCUGGUGGCCCCGGCUUCAGUGCAGGCCAUCCUUUCCACCUAUUGUCUCCUUUUGGUCUCAUGGGGACCCGGUUCUUGUCCUCUGCCCUGUAGCAUGGCUACGACCCUCAUGGGCCACAAACUUGAUGCCCUCAGGCGGCUAGACUCUACCCCAGAUCCGGGGCUGGCAGCGGCAUGGAUGUGGUCAACUGGCAUGCAGUUGUUACCCAGACACCCUCCCAUCAGCACUUUUUUAGGGGGUGAGUGACAGAAACUCAACUUGGGCUUAAAGGUGAAUUUACUGGUUCCUGUGAUGACAGAGUUCAAGGUUCAGCUGGACCUGGUGCCUCCAAUGACGUCACCAAGUCUGUCUGUCCAUCUGUCUGAGUUCAGCUUCCUCCAGGUCUUCGUUCUCCAGCAGGCCUUCUCCUCAAAGUGGCCAGGUGACUGUCAGCUCUAUGGUUCAUUCUACCAGUUUAUGAAUCUCCCCUCCUCAUGUUGCUCAAAUUCAGCUGUGAGUAAACUCCCAAGCUGAUUGCAGCGUCCAAAGGGAGGGCACUGGUCCCAUGUGCAGCCGGCAACUCUAUGGGUUCAGCUCCACCCAAACUAUAUAGACCACAGCAGGGAAGGAAAGCCAGGGAUGCUAGGAUGGCCAGCACCACUGCAGAAGCCUAUUGAUCCCGUGCAAAAUAGCUCCAGUAAAAGGAGGGCUUUGGGGCCCGGUGUGUUGGCACACACCUGUAAUCCCAGCACUUUGGGAGGCCAAGGCAUGUGGAUCACUUGAGGUCAAAAGUUCUUGACCAGCCUGAUUAACAUGGUGAAACUCCGUCUCUAUUAAAUACAAAAAAAUUAGCCAGGAGUGGUGGUGCAUGACUGUUAUCUGAGCUACUUGGGAGGCUGAGACAGGGGAAUUGCUUGUACCCGGAGGCGGAGGUUGCAGUGAGCUGAGAUCACACCAUUGUACUCCAGCAUGGGCAACAAGAGCAAAACUCUGUCUCAAAAAAAAAAAAAAAAAGGAGAGCUUUGGUCUACAGAAAGUCAGGCACCAUCACAGCAUCAUAGGGACAGGGAUACAGGAUGCAGGUCCCCGUUACAUCCAGGGCUCCAUCCCUCUUCUCUCCAUCCUCCCCAUAGGCUUUUCCUACAGGCCUUUGGUUUUCCCCGGAUGUUGGCUUGCCCCUAUACCAGCACUGCCAUGGAUGUUGGCUUGCCCCUAUACCAGCACUGCCACGGAUGUUGGCUUGCCCCUAUACCAGCACUGCUCUGGAUGUAGGCUUGUCCCUACAAGAUCACUGGCCCGACUUGUCACUCCAGGGACAAUGUGUCCACCCUUGGCCUAGCUAGUCAGAAACUUUUGUCUUCGUGUCAUCGUGUCCAAUCAAGAUGUCCAAGAUCCUUCUCUCUUUAGAGAGCAUGGGGAGGAGGGGCAUUGUGCUGGGUUGAUGACUGUCCCCCAAAUCCACUUCCACUCAGAAGCUCAAAAUAUGACCUUAUUUGGAGACAGGGUCUUUGCAGAUGUAAUUAGUUAAGAUGAAGUCACGCUGCAUUAGGGUGGGCCCUAGACCCAAGGCCUAGACCCAAGGACUGGCGAUCUUAUAAAAAGAGGAGUGGACACAGAGACAGAUGCAGAGGGAGGGCAGCCACGGAAAGACAAAGGCAGAGAGUGGAUGAUGCAGCCGCAAGCCAUCGGAUGUCCAGGGCCACCAGGAGCUGAGGAGGUGAGGAAGGGCACCCCCAGGAACCUUCAGAGGGAGCACGACACUGUCGACACCUUGACUUUAGACUUCUGGGCUCCAGAUCAGCAAGGGAGUAGAUUUCUGCUCCUUUAAGCAUUUUAUGGGUCUCUGCUGCAGGAGCUCAAGGAAACUCAUUCAGGUAUUUAGGACGGUUGUGCUGGGUGGAGACGGACCACACACCGUCUCUGGGCUGAAGGGGCGGGCACCAGGAGCAGGUCCUCAGUCGACCGCAUCUUGGCACUUAGCUUUGGUGACUCCCCCUGGUGCUGCUGAUGUCCUACCGUGGCCUCUAGGGGACUCAGGGUCCUGCACCCCACCCCUGCUCCCUUCCUGCCCUGGCCUCGUCUCACCUCUGCAGUAGCAAGACUUUCUGCAGCCUGAAUCUAGAUUCUCUGCCGCCUCUUGGUUCUUCUCCUUCAAUGUGGGCUCACCAAGGGCCAUGAGGGUCCCCAGGACUGCAAGGGCACACAGAAAACCCACAGAUUCAUACACUGAGAUAUCGCUCUCCUCGUCGACAGGACCUCAAGCCUCCAGGCCCAGCUCAGUCUAAUUCAAUCUCUGUGUCUUUGCUCAAACUCUUGCAAGGAAAUCUGACCACCUUGGCCUGGCUGGGGGCAUCCAGCGCUAUCCCUGGGGUGUGGCCUGAAACCCUUCCUUCCUCGGUAGGACUCAGUCAACCAGGGUUAAGAAAAGGGCACAUUCCUUGGAGAAGCAUGAGGAGAUAAUGCUUCUGAGGACGCUCAUGUAUGUGAACGCUCAAUGCAGACAUAUGGAAAUUAUGUCGUCUACAUUUACCCCCAUCCCUCUAGGGUGGGUGUCAUCAGAUUCCCGUCCCAGUUUGCAGCUGGAGCCUCGGGGCUUGGAUUAAGUGCUUGCCAGUGCUGGUAGAGAAGCCUGUCACCUCCCACCACUCUCAGCACUUGUCCACUUGCCAAGGUCUCAUGGCAAGUAAGUCCUGGCCACCUUGGUCGCCUCUUAGACGAAGUGGCUUGGACUAGAUGCCCUCCUCCGAGGUGAAUCUUGAGCUGAAGCUUCGGUGUGUGCCUGGAGCAUGUGGCUGGGGUGUUCAGCAAACCCUGGGCAGGGAGGACAGGCCAGCCAGACCUCGGGCCCCCAACUGGGCAUCUGCCUCCAUAGGGCAUUCAUCCACUUUGGGGGUCUUUGUGUCCCUAAAAGAGUCUGAAUAUGAAUCCACACUCAAGCAAAACCAUUAAGGAGAUCAAAGCAGCCGCAAUGACACUGGAGGAGGCUCAUGCUCCUGGGAAACCUCAGAGUAAGACGCAUGGGGGAGGUGCUGGCUUAAGGGUCAUGACUGAGGUGAGAGGCUGAGGGCAAUGGACAGAAAGCAGCAUGCAACCAAGUUCAGGUGGCAGGGAAAACAGAGAGCAAGGAGGAAGCAAAACUGUGAGCAAAACAGGCCUUGAGGGGCCAAACAGUCAGCCACAGAUGCCAGGCUCCUGCCCGACCUGCCCCGACCCUGCCUCUCAGAGGGCACCUGCCAUCCUCUGUGCACCCCACCUGUCCUGUCCCAUCUGUGCAGGGCCCCGUCUAUCGCCCCUGAAGGGUCAGGUGCUCCUCACUGGAAGGUAGGAACUGGGCUUCACCAUCUGGACUGUGCAAGGCCUGCCUGGUCAUGAGAGCAAAGAGUUUUCUAGAAGGCUGGCUUGCACACAUAAGUGAAGAACUGCCCCCCAGAAGUAAUGCUUAGGCAAAGAAGGUGGGCAGUGGUGGUGGUCACAGAUGCUGGGGGUGAGCCAUAGGCCUGAGCCAUCCAUUGUGGGGGUCUGAAAGCCCAAGUCUGUGGCUCCCACACACAGAGAUAGACAGUUCCUAGAGAACACCAGAGUCUAGGCCCCAGGGGCUGGGCGUGCCUCAGAGGGCGCCCCAUGCCAGCUUAAAGGCAGCUGGGAAUGCAGCAAUUGAUCAGUGGGUGCUGGGCAGCUCACACCCCCGUGCGGACAGUCUUCUCCAUGGGCCGAGAAGUGUGUCACAUGCAUGCAGGUGCAUAUGCAUGGGGACAUGGGGGCCCAGGAGUCUUCCUACUGCAGAGUUCAAAGAUGCGGGCUGAAGGCAGUUUGGAGAGCGUCCCCUGCCUGUGCUUCUCUUUUAACUCCAGGACCUGAGCCUCUGCUGGGUGGCGGGUGGACGCUGCUCCCAGUCUCCCAUGCAAGGGGCCCCAGAGGGAGGAAAAUGGCAGGAUGGGACAGAGGGACCACGUGAGAGCAGCUUUGGGAUAAAGCUGCCAGAUACACAAAGCAAUAAACAAAAGGGAAAAAGGAAACGGGACUCAACACAAUUCACAAGUCACAAGGUGGUUGGCUCCAAGGAGCAGGUCCCUGGCUCAGCGGGUCCACUGGGGCUCUCUGGGCAGAGGGGCCUGGUGUUUGAGGUCCCCUCCAGAACCUUCACGCUGAGUGGCAAUGACAUUCCAUAGCCUUGAGGGGCAGGGGCGCAAGGCUCAGCACCCUGGGGCUCUGGGGUGGAGGAGGAGGAUGAUCCGGACUGGGGAGGCAGAAAUGGCCCUCCGUUCUUUUCUGUUUCUUCUCACGCCUCCAGCCCCUUGCUGCAGCCACACUGGCCUCAGUUACACUGGCUCCUUCCUGCUCCUCAUCUGUACAGGGCCAGGUCCUGAAUUAGGGGGGCCUUUGUACAUACAGGCACCAGAACAUUCUUCCAGAGCUUCACUGGAGCCUUCCUCUUCAGCAUGACCGUCCCUGGCCACCUGAUCCAGAGCUGGCGGCUCCCAGGCAUAGCCCAUCCCUGCUGCGGCUCUGCACUGCCCCAGUCCUCACCUGCAUGCAGGGGACUAUUCACAUGCUGACCGUCUGUCCAUCUCCCGUAAGAACGUCGGCUCCUUCCACGUCUGCUGGGCGUGGAGGAUCCCUCACAGCCUCCCCGACCUCAGAGCCAUGAGAGACUUGCAAAGCUUGAAACAAACUCUGAAAGGACUCUUCACAGAUAAAUUCCUCCAGGUGCAUGUUUCAAACAAUUUUAUUAUCUAACCCAAGAGUAAGUUAGCAAUCGAUUUCCUAAUCUUUAUUGAUUGGCAGUGGGCAGGCUAGUGUGAUUAAAGAUGUGAGAGAGACUUGCCAAAUAAAAUGCAUGAGCAGCCUUCAUGAGCUUAGCUCCAAUGUGCAGAGUGAUAGGGUCAGGGAAGUGUGUGUAUGUGUGCAUGAUUGUGUGAGAUCAGGGUAGUGUGUGUGUGUGUGUGUGUGUGUGACAUCAGGGCAGUGGGUGUGUGAGAGAGAUCAGGGCAGUGUGUAUGUGUAUGUGUGAGAUCAGGGCAGUGUGCGUGUGUGUGUGUGUGUGACAUCAGGGCAGUGUGUCUGUGUGCAUGAGUGUGUGAGAUCAGGGCAGUGUGUGUGCAUGAGUGUGAUAUCAGGGCAGUAUGUGUGUGUCUGUGUGUGUGUGUAUGAUAUCAGGGCAGUGUGUGUGUGUCUGUGUGUGAGGUUAGGGCAGUGUGUGUUUGUGUGCAUGAGUGUGUGAGAUCAGGACAGUAUGUGAGAGAGAGAGAUCAGGGCAAAGGGCAGUGUUUGUGUGAGAUUAGGGCAGAGUGUGUGUGUGUGUGUAUGAGAUCAGGGCAGUGUGUGUGUGUGUGCAUGAGUGUGUGAGAUCAGGGUAGUGUGUGUGUGUGACAUCAGGGCAGUGUUUGUGUGUUUGUGUGAGAUCAGGGCAGUGUGUGUGUGUGCACGAGUGUGUGAGAUCACGGAAGUGUGUGUGUCAGGUCACCACAGUGUAUGUGCGGGUAUGCGUGUGUGUGUGCACAGGGAACACACGGACAGCCAUUCCAAGUACACACUCUCCUUGGGUAAAUCUGUGAGUAAUCAUUGCUCCAGCAGUGAGAGCCCGUGAGGGUGGUGCAGGAAGACUGUGGCCUGCCUCCUGAGGGAAGCAUUAAAA
This 12085-nucleotide long non-coding RNA is filed under the name Homo sapiens (human). RNAcentral's name for it is "non-protein coding lnc-RTL1-8:3". The stretch from base 4444 to 4591 matches the Rfam family "Metazoan signal recognition particle RNA". The record is from RNAcentral. Lineage: Eukaryota; Metazoa; Chordata; Mammalia; Primates; Hominidae.